UCCGGGGUAGCUCAAUCGGCAGAGCGAGCGGCUGUUAACCGCUAGGUUGAGAGUUCGAGUCUCUCCCCCGGAGCCA
Molecule: transfer RNA, 76 nt
Filed under: Acidimicrobiales bacterium
Lineage: Bacteria; Bacillati; Actinomycetota; Acidimicrobiia; Acidimicrobiales
Also listed under: 1 other name
Description: tRNA-Asn
Rfam family: tRNA
About the family: Transfer RNA (tRNA) molecules are approximately 80 nucleotides in length. Their secondary structure includes four short double-helical elements and three loops (D, anti-codon, and T loops).
Source: RNAcentral